UACGUAGGGUGCAAGCGUUAAUCGGAAUUACUGGGCGUAAAGCGUGCGCAGGCGGUUUUGUAAGUCUGUCGUGAAAGCCCCGGGCUCAACCUGGGAAUUGCGAUGGAGACUGCAAGGCUUGAAUCUGGCAGUGGGGGGUAGAAUUCCACGUGUAGCAGUGAAAUGCGUAGAGAUGUGGAGGAACACCGAUGGCGAAGGCAGCCCCCUGGGUCAAGAUUGACGCUCAUGCACGAAAGCGUGGGGAGCAAACAGG
Molecule: ribosomal RNA, 253 nt
Filed under: uncultured bacterium
Lineage: Bacteria
Description: partial 16S ribosomal RNA
Rfam family: Bacterial small subunit ribosomal RNA
Source: RNAcentral